This is a long non-coding RNA of Neopelma chrysocephalum (saffron-crested tyrant-manakin), 1169 nucleotides long. RefSeq lists it as uncharacterized. The record is from RefSeq and is a predicted model, not a curated record. NCBI's taxonomy places the organism in Eukaryota, Metazoa, Chordata, Aves, Passeriformes, Pipridae. The transcript has 6 exons.
GCCGCGGCCUUAUCAGCCGUUUGUUUAGCUGGGUGGGAAGUCGAGCCCCGCCUGCCCGGGCCGGGAUUUUUCCAUCAGCCCCGCUGGAUUUUUCUAGGCGCUUCGUAACAAAGUCUCUUGACGCGCGGGGUAUGCCCCGGUUUUAGAAUUUAUGUCCUCGCGGCUCCGUUGGGGAGCGCAGUGCCGCGAACGCGAUCGGAGCUGGCCCCGAACUACACCCAGAAUGCCGCAAGUUUAUAUGAAAAUGAACUAGACUACAGCUACUGUUGACAUACAGGCUAUGGACGCGAUCCAGGAAAACAAGAUAUUUUGAGACCGGUGGAGGGCAUCUAAAGUUUGUGUUGCUUACUGGUAAAAUUAUUCAUUUUUGUUGAAACUUGCAAUUCCUGGCUGAACCGUGCUGUGAUAAAUAGAGCUAAUACCCUACCAAUGAAUGAAAAUAUAUAUCAACUUACGUUUUGGAUAACGUGAAUAAAACAUAUUCAGAAAGCAAACCUUAGAAAUUUUUGUUUUCGUGGUCUCCUUUCUCCCUCAUGACUUCAAGAGGCUUCAGGAAACUGAUAAACAUAUGAAAAAUAUCCAACUGUAGCCCUGAGUUACCCAAGACCUAAGACAAGCCAGGUGUGGGGGCAUUAGUGACAAUGAGAAAUAAGGGGCAACAGGGCUGUUGUUGCUUCUUUAGAACCCCACUCAAGGGCUGGAGGUGAGUGUGAGAUCAUCUCCUCUGCUGCUCCUCCCCAAGAGAGUAGAAGUCAUGGGGCUGAGCGGUCAAAGGAGAACCUUAAUCUUUUUCUCAAUGGAGAGACAUUUGUGCACAUCUGGAAAUAUCAAGCUACAUUUAAACACUAGGAAACUGAAUAGUAUAAAAAGACCUGGGUGUCUGCUACUUAACAAAAUAGGAAAAGAAAAAGAGAUGACUAAGACAAAGGAAUGUAACUGCUUCUUUAACUCUCUUAUUCCUUCACACUUGCAGAAGAGAUAACUGUGCAGAACAACAGAGAGAGGGUGACUGGAGAACUGAAAGGAGAAUUUUUGCCUAAACAAGAGUAGCUGAAGGAAAAAAACCUUUGGGUCAGUAAUUUUCAUUCUGAUAAAGUUCCUUCAGAGUUAGUAAAUUGUGAGGUUUACUUUAUUGACUGAUGUUUUAAGUGAAAUCUCAUGAUUAAAGU